Molecule: long non-coding RNA, 6648 nt
Organism: Nycticebus coucang (slow loris)
Lineage: Eukaryota; Metazoa; Chordata; Mammalia; Primates; Lorisidae
Exons: 3
Source: RefSeq, a predicted model, not a curated record
CUGGCUAUUUCUAAGGGACUUUCCUAUCGUGUGAACUGUGUCUUGGCCAGGGGCUUUCAGCUUUCAGACAGGUUAACAAAACUUUAUGACCAGAAACGCUUUCUCUUUUUUUUCCUCUCACUACACACAUGCAUAUGUACAUGAACACACAGAUUCUCAGCAAACGCAUACACAGAAACUCUGCCUCAUCUACAGGGGCAUGCACACAUCCUCACAUGCAUGUGCAAAUUCUCCUUCCUUCGUGCUUUCUUAUGCUUUCACAUACAUACAAACAGUAGUAUGGCUUGUUCAUCACUAAAUCCCCAGCACCCAGAGAGCACAAGACAGGGUCUUCCCCUCCUAUCUUUACCCCAGACUACAGUACAGGACAGAUGCACAAUAGCUGCUCAACUUAGCUGUCUGGCCCUUCCUACUGCUGGUUAACCAAGGUCAACUGAGCCCAGAGACAUGGUAGAGGCAAACUUGGACAUACUCAAGGCCAGCAUGUGUAAGGUAUGACAUAUGUUGUCUCAUGUAACUUGCAUUGAAUAAACUAGACUCUGGGGGUAUAACCUGUGGUAUAUUUUUACUAUGGAAUUCUAUUUAGCCAUGAAAAAGAUGGAGCCUUUGUGUCUCUUUUAUAACAACCUGGGUGGCUUUGGAGAACACUCUCUUAAGUAUCACAGGAAUGGAAAAAUGAGCAUCAUGUGCUCAAUACUAAAUUGAAACUAGUAGAUUAAUGAUGUGCUCACCUGAGAGAAAAACUCAAUUAAAUUCAAAAAGUGGGGGAAGAGAGUUCAGCAAGUUUCCACCCAAAUCAAACAAUGCGUGGAUAUACGGCACACUUCCUGGGUGAAGGAAACAACUGCGACUCUGACUUUAACCUUAUGAAUGUGAACAAUGCAACCUAAUCAUGUGUACCCUCAUAUUCGUCUGUAAUAAAAAAUAAAUAACUUCCAUUAGUCAAUCUUCAGGGCUGAAUCUUUUUUGUCUCCUUUGACAAAAACUUGGACUUGUUCCACAACUCUUUUCUGUUUUCUCUUAGAUAAUACAAAGUUCCUCAUUUGUUUUAAAUCCCAAAAUAUUGUUUUGAUUUAAUAAUUAACAUGUCCCAUCUGGGAUGUUAAUAUUACUACUUGUUUUAGUCCAUUUUGGGCUGCUAUAACAGACUACUUAAGACUGGUAAUUUUAAAAGAACAGAAAUUUGUUUAUUAUAAUUUUAGAGGCUGGGACAUCCAAGAUUGAGGGGCUGGCCUCUGGUGAGGGCCUUCUUGCUGCAUCAUGCCAUGGUGGAGGGGCAAAGAGAGAGCUAGAGAUUGAACUCACAGCAUCAAGCCUUUUCAUAAUUGGCAUUAAUCCAUUCACGAGGGCCAAAUCACCUCUCAUUUAGCCCCUACAUCCCAACACUGCUGCGUUGGGGAUUAAGUUUCCAACACACGCCUUUCCGGGAACACCGUCAAACCAUAGCACUACCAUUAGCAAUAACAGCAGUAAUAAACUUCAAACUUCAUUUAAAAGCAACUUUCCUCAUCCAAUGCUUGGACCUGGAAUUGCUGCUGGCCAGUCUCCUGCACUGCCAAGGGCUCUGUGCCUUCCUUCCUCUUUCCUUCUGCAUCUUGCUGAGCACAGUGGGAUUUUUAACUGUCCAUUGUCAGGGAUGGGAAGAAGGAAAGGAGAACAAGAGAGUUCUAACUGGAUUAGCAUAGAAUUGAAGAUCCAGGAUCUCUCUAGCUUGAUAGGCAUUUACACUUUCUUGUUCUUUUACUGGGUGUUUUUGUGGGUUCUUUGGAGAACAGCUCCCUCCCCUGACCCAUACUGGUGAUCUCCUGAUGUGGGUCAGGGCGCUUCUAUUCCAGCUGGUUCCUUCAGACUCCUUCCCAGCCUCUAUGCGUGAGGGCUUUUGUCCCCCUAUGGUCUUCUGACAUAAUCUAGGCUGACUUAGCACAUCUCCCUCUCAUGGGGUCCAUACCUACUUUGGGAAAACCCUUCUGCAUUCUCUAACUUGAUACUUUCUGAGAGAAUAGGUUGUUCCCAGAGCAGCGACCUCUUUUUACUCUGCUGUUAGAACAGUUGAUCAGCCAGCCUCUGACCCUUCACACUUAGCAGUGGGAGUCAGAUUCCAGUGUACUGAAUCCCUUAAACAUAGAGAAAACAUCAAGUUUCCCAAUGAUCUUGUUAAAGCUACUUUCCCCAGGCUUGAGUUAAGGGAAGGAGUGUACAAAGACACAAAACUGUACUUACAGCUCUUUCUAGAAAUCCCCUGUCUAAUCCCCCACUUUGUUCUUGGCCUCUCCCACCUCUCUUAUAUGCCAAAGUUGGGUCAGCAAAAACACACAAGAGCAGUUUUCAACAUCAUCUUUUGCAGUUCUUGCGUGGUGGGCUUGGACUGUAUUUGAGGAUGUGUUGUCUGAUAUCUUGGGCCUCAUGUGAAAUCUGGACUAAAGUAGUUAAUUUUUUAGAAUUCUUUUACAUGAUUUCUCCAAGGCAAAAUUUCAAGGUAGAUAUCGCUAUCUCCAUUCAGUGGUUGAUAAAAUGGUUUCAAAGGAAACCCAUGUUAAUCAGAUUUCAAAUCCUACUAUGAAGACCGAGGCUUCACCUUCAUAGUGCCUGAAUAGCAUAAUGCUUGAGGGCCUGUCAUACAGACAGGUUAGGCAUCUGCAUCAAAAUCUGCUGUCUUCCAGCUACUUCUUAUUCUUACAGCAUGUUCCUAUGCUCAGACUCAUUUGAUGGGAUGUCACCCAGGACAAGAGCCUUCCCAAUGCCCAGCAAGUUGCUUUGGAAGAAUGUGGCCAAUGAACAGUCUUUCCUGUGUUUGACUCUAGCAUUGAUUCUAUUUCCCAUUUUCUCUGCAAAGCUUAUAUGUAAUGUUUUGCUUUUCUGAUUCUGUUGAUUGCUAUAUUAGAGAGAGAUCCUUGAUGAACACGAUCUUUAUUAUCACCAGCAAUACAUAUUUAAAAAGGUGUCUUUAUCAUCUGCCUUUAUCUUGUUCUUCUCUGUGUUUGCAACAGUCUUAGAGCAUGCUGUUGCUCAAGAGUCUAGGUGAAUUAAUUCAUUGGCUGGACACAGUUAAUUUAAGGGUGGGUUAGGAGCAGAGGAAGGAGAAUGAGUGGGAAGGAAACGUACCUAUGGGGGCUCAUCCUCCUGGUCCCCUGGCCAGUCCUUAGUUUCAGCUUUCUCAUCAGACCAAGGGAGUAAGGGUCCCUGUCUUAUCAGCCUCACCAGUAUUGUAAGAUGACCCUCCAACAAGAUCAUAGAGAAGGGAAGGGAAUAAAAAAUAUCCAAUGUAUGGGUUUGGUCUGGGGAAACAAAACUUCUGACUCAUCCUGGGCCUGGAGGACCCAGAGAACCACCCUGGCCUGUGUGAGUUGCAAACAGAGGCCUCUCUACAUUCUGGCAUAAAUUAUCCCAGGCAGAGGCGUCAGGGCUGUCUGCUCCCUGUCUGGCCUCCUUGGCCACCUUGCUUCAUGAGACAUAAAUCCCCAAGACUCCCUAGUCAUUUCUAAUCUGCUUCAGUGUUUAUUUUUUAAUUUUGUCCCCCUCCUUUUUUGUCUGCUUGCUAUUUUAUAGGACUAUAGGCCAGGAGGGCAGAAUCUAGCUACAAAUCUCUUAACUCUGGCUGCUGAGACGGUGGGACAGAGUGGGUGAGGUGCAGUGGGCCCUAACACAGAUGCCCUAGAAAGCUCAAGCUAGGGCUGGAUGGGCGGACGUGGGGCCCACUUUCUAAGGAAGUGAAGCUCUCUCAGUGUGCCCAGGCCUCUGAGUUCAGAAUCUAGACAAAAUAAGAAGUGUGCUCAGGGGAACAGGAUGAUAGGGGUGGAGUUAGAGUCAUCUCCACGAUGUCUAGCGGGGUGACAUCGACCAACCUCCUGGAUGUUUCUGAGCCUCAUUUUCCUCUUUAAUGGGAGUGACAGUAACUACUUCCUAAGGUGAUUGUGAGGAUCCACUGAGAUGACCUUGGCCUGUGUGUCUAGCAGACUGCCUGCCACAGGAGGCAUCCUGUACACGUGGUUUCCUCCUCUCUUAAACCAUCCAUGAUUGCAAAGUAGUGAAUUUGUCAUCUGCUCUUUUUUCUCCAAUAUGAGCUCCUUGAGGGAGGAACUUUAUCUAACUUGUUCACCCAGGACUCCCAGCACCUAGUGGAAUGCCUGACAUUUUAUCUGUGCUCAAUUGGCUGAAUAAUGAAUGAAAAAACAAGUUCUCUGUAUGAAUUCCAUGCUUACAGAGGCAUUUCCAUGUAAGAGAAUAUUUCCAGAGACUUACAGAUAUUUAGAAUCAGAUGGGGCUUAGGGCAACAUACAGCUUGAGGUCUUCACUGCUGAGAGGAAAGGUUCCUCUUCGUGAGACAUAACUUUGGUUCAAGGAGGGAAGAGACUUGUCCAAGAUCACAGCCAAAAUCCAGGGCAGAGCGAGGGCUGGAAGCCUGGCAUUUUGAUCCCCAUCUCAUGAUCCUUAUACGACAUUAAGCUUUCAGCCACAUUUUUAAGGUAGAAAAGAGAGGUCGAGAACUAAGAAAAAGGCAACCUGGAGAAAAGGAGAGCUAAGGGAAAAAAAAAUUCUGCUCAAAAACAGAGAGAGAGUGAGAGAGAGAGAUGCGGGGAGAGAGAGACCCAGGAAUGGGACCUACAAAACAUGUUACAUGACAGCCCCAGGGUGUCCUCAGAAUGCUGAGGACUGCCUUCACUCUGGGGCUCAGCAGCGCACCUGACCUUUAUCCAUGCAGGUCACGGGAGGGAGUAACAUUGGUAAAAAUGGGGAAGGCUCGACUUCUGCUGGAAGCCAACUUCCGCUGCCUACUUCAGUUCCGGUUGGCAAGACUUUGUUUUCCUCCUACCUUAUGCAGUGACGCUAUUUCUACCAGCACGACUCUUCCUGGCCCUUCUGUUACUACUGCCAAAGAUGAGGAAAAGGAGUUAAGUAAUCUGCCUGUGAUCAGCUCAUUCAUGAAGGGAGGAAGCAGCAAUGCAAAGCCUGAUGUCUCCCUGAGGUCAGAGCCCAGCAGUCUGUCCUCGUGCCUCACUCUGGCCUUUCUCUGGCUACUUCAGAUGCCGCCGUGUUCCACUGAAUCAGAACAGAUCCUUCCACUGUAUUCAGACGUGAAUAAUACUGCAACAAUAAUUCCCACUCCUCCGUGUCUGCGAAUAUCCUAAAUAACAUACCAUUCCAGGCCCCAUGCUAGGGGCUGGGACUUCAGAUAUGAGAAAAGGUGCAGCCCACUGGGGAGGCUGACAUUUAAAUGGAAUCUUGUGAAAUGGUGUUUUAAGCACCAAAGAGAAGCAUGAUGCCAGCAUGUGGGAAGUUAGAGCAGGAUUAGAGGAGGAAGAGACAUAUGAGCUGUGUCUGAGUGGGGGACCACCAGGAGCAGGAGAGAGCACCCAGCUGAGUGAGCAGAGCGCAGGCAGAGACAUGCUGUGUGGUGUGGGAUACAGCGGAGCAGGGGGUUCACAUGGAGAGAGCCAGAGGCGAGACUAGAGAGGGCCCUGGGUCAGACUGUAGAAGAUUUGGGGACCAGGCUAACUUUUGGCUGUAUUUAAGGUACUAGCCAAGGUGAGGCCUUCACAAUGACAGACCUGGCUGAAUCCCAUGUUGACAAUACAUAGUAGAUGCUUAAUAAAACCAGUUGAUUGGCCGAUAAAGGCGCAUGUUGAAAAUUGAUUGGCUGAUACAGGUGCAUGUUGAAAAUUCUCUGUAACACCUGGCGUAUAUUGGAUCCACUUCUGUUGAAGGCCUAGCCCUGCUGCAACAGAGAUAAUUUUCCUUUUGCCCUCAAUUUCCUCCAAGGUGGGACUUCCCUGCUUCAGGCUGCAGAUGGUGCUCCUGGAUCCGGGGUGUGCUGGGCCAAGAAUUUCUGCCAGCAUCCUGGGCUUCUUAUGAAAUUGGAGAUUUGGGUUGAGCCCUAGUCAGUUUCCUGACGCAUGCCUACAUCAUUUCCACUGCUCUGAAGCCUACUCCACCUUCCCACCUCUCACCAAAGCCACAGAGAUCCACAGCAAAGCUGGGAAGGAUCAAAGCUCCAACACUCCAAACCCUGGGAGAUGUAGAGGCCAGGGGUCCACCCUCAGCUCUGGAAAGAGAACUUCCCAAAUAUACAGCCACAAGCAGCUUUAAUAACUCUGGGCCUGCUCAUGGACAUAAACGCUCAGUUUUAUUUUGGAAUUUAUUGUCACUUGUAAAAUAAAUAACACACUUGAUUGGAGGCUGUUAAGUUGGUACUCACUGCUUGCCAAGGGCCUGGAAAGCCUGCUGGGGCGUGACCAAUCUGGGCAUUCUCUAAAGAAGCUUAAUUGCUCUUCCUUCCACCCUGGGUCUGCAACACUCUUUCCACACCCAAGGCCUAUUACUCUUUCAGCCUCUCUCAGAGUGGCUAAGGCCUCCUGGCCUCCCUUCAUCCCAGAGUGUCGCAUGGUUACCUUCCAUUGUCUUAGGAUCAUGUAUUUCAAAAUCUAAAAAACCUUUCAAGCCUAGAUUAAUACUGUCCAUGAACAGUUAGAUUAUAAAUUGUGAAGAACUUGGAGUUCUAAACUAUCUGGAACUUAGGAAUUAAGAGUAAUAAAUUCUUGAAUGGGCGUGGUGCCCAUAGCUCAGCGCCAGCCAUAUGCACCGGGCAGGGCUGGUGGAUUCAAGCCCAGCAUGGGCUUGCUAAACAACAAUGACAAUAACAUCGAAAAAAUA